GUAUAAACACAGAGAAAUAACUGAAUUCAAAGAAUUAAAAAAGUGACAUAUGGAUAAAUAGAGCGCAUGACUUUCAAAGUUGGCCAAAAUUUCCAAAUAAAGUCAAAAAUAUAAAGUAAAACGAUGAGAGAUGAAAACAUUAAAAGAAUUUCUCGAAAAGUGUAAUAAAAAACACAAAUAAGAAUUCUUUACCUUUUGGAACGGCUUCUAGAGAAUUGCCAAGGAAGCGUAUGUGAGUGCUUCGACUCUGAAUGUUCAUCACUAGACUUGUGAGUAUCCCUUAAUGGUGAAUCUUUAGGGGAGUUGCUUUGGGAUGAUCCAAAAAAUUUACUUCUUUUUCGUGUAAGGGAAGGGAAAAACGAACGACUUUCGCGACGUACGGCUUUUGGAGAAGCAUCAACAGAUCUUGAAUGAAAUCUUUCUGCAUCCAGUGAUGGUUCACGAUCAAAAUAAGAACGGCUAUUGAUGUCUCUAUCUAAAGUUUUAUGAGAAUACUGCGAAGAAAAUGAAGCAACCAUCGGAUCCAUAUCAGGAUAUGUUAUUGUCGAGUUUGAUCUAGGGGUACUUGAUAGAUUCGAAACUUCCACGCUUUCUUGUUUAAGUUGACUUGGAAUAGACAUCGGCUUAAUUGAUUCCUUGGUGUCUACUUCACUAACAUCAUCAUCUUCUUCAUCAGCAGCAGUAUAAAAUAGAACAUAGGCAGUAGCCUGACCAGGUUGAUCACCAAAAAAUCGUUGUAGGUAAUUCUCGUUGACAGGAGUUACGUUCUCGUCAUCAAAAAGGACCCAGCCAUAAGUUUUAGUGCGAACGA
Schizosaccharomyces pombe (fission yeast) is the source of this 811-nucleotide non-coding RNA. NCBI's taxonomy places the organism in Eukaryota, Fungi, Ascomycota, Schizosaccharomycetes, Schizosaccharomycetales, Schizosaccharomycetaceae. The record is from the annotation of a GenBank genome assembly.